GACGAACGCUGGCGGCGUGCUUAACACAUGCAAGUCGAACGGUGAAGGGACUGGUUUUGCUGGUCCUGGAUGAGUGGCGAACGGGUGAGUAACACGUGAGUAACCUGCCCCCUUCUUCUGGAUAACCGCAUGAAAGUGUGGCUAAUACGGGAUAUUCUGGGUCUGUCGCAUGGUGGGCCUGGGAAAGAUUGCGCCUUUUUUGGUGUUUUUGGUGGGGGAUGGGCUCGCGGCCUAUCAGCUUGUUGGUGGGGUGAUGGCCUACCAAGGCGGUGACGGGUAGCCGGCCUGAGAGGGUGGACGGUCACACUGGGACUGAGACACGGCCCAGACUCCUACGGGAGGCAGCAGUGGGGAAUAUUGCACAAUGGGCGAAAGCCUGAUGCAGCGACGCCGCGUGAGGGAUGGAGGCCUUCGGGUUGUGAACCUCUUUCGCCAGUGAAGCAGGCCUGCCUCUUUUUGUGGGUGGGUUGACGGUAGCUGGAUAAGAAGCGCCGGCUAACUACGUG
This 506-nucleotide ribosomal RNA is filed under the name uncultured bacterium. RNAcentral describes it as "partial 16S ribosomal RNA". It matches the Rfam family "Bacterial small subunit ribosomal RNA", at positions 28 to 507 of the family's 1533-position model. The record is from RNAcentral.